AUCCUUCUGUGAUUCAUAAACACAGUGACUGGGUUUUCACUCUCAUGCUCUCAAACCUUGUUACUAAUUGGUACAUUAAUUGUUUGACA
Molecule: small nucleolar RNA, 89 nt
Organism: Otolemur garnettii (small-eared galago)
Lineage: Eukaryota; Metazoa; Chordata; Mammalia; Primates; Galagidae
Source: Ensembl